This 627-nucleotide unclassified non-coding RNA is filed under the name plant metagenome. RNAcentral's name for it is "partial contains small subunit ribosomal RNA and internal transcribed spacer 1". The record is from RNAcentral.
AAGUCGUAACAAGGUCAACUAUCUUUGAGAUUAGCUGCAAUGGAACUUGAUCCUUCCGUUCACACUCGAAGGCCUAGGGCGUCUGCUCCGAGCAGGUAACUCCCGCGACUCUAAAUAAAUGGGUACAUAUGACAACCUCUGGAAAAUAGACCAUGUUGUUAGCCCGUGCGAUCAAAUUCAGGGAACACCUAUGCCAAGCAAGUCAAGCGCCCUUAACUGGGCACUGCCGUUUACACGGGUAAUUCCGGGCGGUAAAGCUUGUGAUGGUUUCCACUCACAGUGGAUAGAUAACGGGUGAAUCCUGAGCCAAGCUCCAGUUUUGGAGAAGGUGCAGAGGCCAGACGGUCGCCGGUCCUUCGGGGCUGAAAGGUAUGGUCCGAUCCCGGGGGUAACUCCGGUUGGAAUUUUAGGGGCGAUUUAAAAGUAACAAAUGUUUCGUAGGUGAACCUGCGGAAGGAUCAUUAGUGAAUAACAAAGGAUUGGAUCUCUUUUAACCAAAGACCUCCUUUCCGUCUUCACUUUCACACACACUGUGCACAUGUUCUUUUUAAACAAUCUUUGUUUAAACACUUGUGUCAACAAUUUGAAAAAGUCCAAGAUGUAAAAGUUGAUAAACGAAAUGUAAAA